UACGUAGGUGACAAGCGUUGUCCGGAUUUACUGGGCGUAAAGCGUGCGCAGGCGGUUUUGUAAGCCAGAUGUGAAAUCCCCGGGCUUAACCUGGGAAUGGCAUUUGGGACUGCAAGGCUUGAGUGCGGCAGAGGAGACUGGAAUUCCUGGUGUAGCAGUGAAAUGCGUAGAUAUCAGGAGGAACACCGAUGGCGAAGGCAGGUCUCUGGGCUGACACUGACGCUCAUGCACGAAAGCGUGGGGAGCAAACAGG
RNAcentral lists this ribosomal RNA (253 nucleotides) under uncultured bacterium. RNAcentral's name for it is "partial 16S ribosomal RNA". It matches the Rfam family "Bacterial small subunit ribosomal RNA", at positions 524 to 776 of the family's 1533-position model. The record is from RNAcentral.